AGAGUUUGAUCCUGGCUCAGGAUGAACGCUGGCGGCGUGCCUAACACAUGCAAGUCGAACGGGAAGCUUGAAUUCGUUUAAGCUGAGAGUGGCGCACGGGUGAGUAACACGUAGCUUGUCUGCCUUAGAGUACGGGAUAACGCACCGAAAGGUGUGCUAAUACCGUAUAAGCUCACGAUGACUAGAGAUUUGUGAGAAAAGCUCCGGCGCUCUAAGAUGAGGCUGCGGUCCAUCAGCUAGUUGGUGAGGUAAAGGCUCACCAAGGCGACGACGGAUAGGGGGCCUGAGAGGGCGGACCCCCACACUGGAACUGAGACACGGUCCAGACUCCUACGGGAGGCAGCAGUGAGGAAUAUUGCUCAAUGGGCGCAAGCCUGAAGCAGCGACGCCGCGUGGGCGAUGAAGGUUUUCGGAUCGUAAAGCCCUUUUCUUGGUGACGAGGAAGGACGGUAGCCAAGGAAUAAGUGUCGGCUAACUACGUGCCAGCAGCCGCGGUAAAACGUAGGACGCAAGUGUUAUCCGGAAUUACUGGGCGUAAAGCGCGUGUAGGCGGAUAUUUAAGUCAACCGUGAAAGCUCCCGGCUAAACUGGGAGAGGUCGGGUGAUACUGAAUAUCUUGAGGGUGAUAGAGGGAUGUAGAAUUCCGGGUGUAGUGGUGAAAUGCGCAGAUAUCCGGAGGAAUACCAGAGGCGACGCGGCAUCCUGGGUCACACCUGACGCUGAGACGCGAAAGCAUGGGUAGCGAACGGGAUUAGAAACCCCGGUAGUCCAUGCCGUAAACGAUGUACACUAGAUGUUCGAUUUGCUACGGUGAAUUGAGUGUCGAAGCUAACGCGCUAAGUGUACCGCCUGGGGAGUACGGUCGCAAGGCUAAAACUCAAAGGAAUUGACGGGGACCCGCACAAGCAGCGGAGCGUGUGGUUUAAUUCGAGGCUACGCGAAAAACCUUACCUGGGUUUGACAUCCUGUGAACGAAUCUGAAAAGAGGAGGUUCCUUCGGGACACAGAGACAGGUGCUGCAUGGCUGUCGUCAGCUCGUGUCGUGAGAUGUUCGGUUAAGUCCGCAAACGAGCGCAACCCUCGGAACUAGUUACAAGUGUCUAGUUCGACUGCUCUCGACAAGAGGGAGGAAGGUGGGGAUGAUGUCAAGUCAGCAUGGCCUUUAUAUCCAGGGCUACACACACGCUACAAUGGUGCAUACAAUGGGUAGCCAAGCCGCGAGGUGGAGCCAAUCCUAAAAAGUGUAUCGUAGUUCGGAUUGCAGGCUGCAACUCGCCUGCAUGAAGUCGGAGUUGCUAGUAACCGCAAAUCAGCACGUUGCGGUGAAUACGUUCCCGGGUCUUGUACACACCGCCCGUCACGUCAUGGAAGCUGGUCACGCCUAAAGUCGGGAAGCUAACCGUAAGGAGGCAACUGCCUAAGGCAGGGCUGGUGACU
Molecule: ribosomal RNA, 1437 nt
Filed under: metagenome
Description: bacterial SSU rRNA
Rfam family: Bacterial small subunit ribosomal RNA
Source: RNAcentral